Molecule: ribosomal RNA, 409 nt
Filed under: uncultured bacterium
Lineage: Bacteria
Description: bacterial SSU rRNA
Rfam family: Bacterial small subunit ribosomal RNA
Source: RNAcentral
ACGGGUGAGUAACGCGUGAGCAACCUGUCCCAGACAGGGGGAUAACACUUGGAAACAGGUGCUAAUACCGCAUAAGACCACGGGGUCACAUGGCUACUGGGGGUAAAAGGAGCAAUCCGGUUUGGGGUGGGCUCGCGUCCGAUUAGAUAGUUGGUGAGGUAACGGCCCACCAAGUCGACGAUCCGGUAGCCGACCUGAGAGGGUGAUCGGCCACAUUGGAACUGAGAGACGGUCCAAACUCCUACGGGAGGCAGCAGUGGGGAAUAUUGGGCAAUGGGCGAAAGCCCUGACCCAGCAACGCCGCGUGAGUGAAGAAGGCCUUCGGGUUGUAAAGCUUCUGUUAUAGGGGACGAAGGAAGUGACGGUACCCUAUAAGGUAAGCCCCGGCUAACUACGUGCCAGCCGCUGC